Ostrea edulis (European flat oyster) is the source of this 2260-nucleotide long non-coding RNA. RefSeq lists it as uncharacterized. The transcript has 3 exons. Lineage: Eukaryota; Metazoa; Mollusca; Bivalvia; Ostreida; Ostreidae. The record is from RefSeq and is a predicted model, not a curated record.
UUCUAUUCUCAAUUAUGGUGCAGCAUCAAAUUAAAGAUGAGAAGUAAAUCCUGUGCCAAUCCCUCAGCAUUAGAAGUGAAAGGCACAGGUGUUUUAGGCAUGAUAUUAAAACCAAAGGCCCCAUAUCACGGUAGGUAUUGGCACGAUAAAGAACCCUCACUGCUACACAACUAAGUUAAGGCUAAUCCCUCCAAAAGUCUCAGUGCUGUACAUAAAUCUACCUUCAAGUUGAGCAAUGCACUUCACACCAUACAAUGUCACAAUGAAAAAGUAAGGCACAACGCACAGGGCUAUAUAUUCAUAUCAUUGGGAAAAUGUUGCAAUAUUUUAGCUGUAUUGACCAAGGCUAUCACGUUCUAAGCUGUAUACAAAUUUGUUUAAAAUUUUCUGUCAUAUGAUAUAUUUUUCUCUUUGGUAUUGUAGCAAUUUCAAAUUUUCAGUAUAGAACAUGUGCAAAGAUAUUAUUCAUAUGAUUGAUUGAUGUUUUCCGCCACACUCAACAAUUUUUCAGUUAUAUGGUGGCGCCCAGUUUUUAUUGGUGGAAGAGAGAACCCAGAUACAAUGUACCUGGGAAGAGACCAUCAACCCUCCGAAAGUAAACUGGGAAACUUUCUCACUUAACGGCAUGAGCGGGAUUGGAACCCUCACCAACAGAGAACUAGAUGAGCAGAAGAUGCAUUCCAUGACUGACUCCCCAUAUGAUAUGAAAGAGAGCCCAUGAGAAUGGAACCAACUUUCAGUGUUACAAUGGAUGAACACCCCUCCUGUCACAAGUCCAUCUUGAUUCAGUAAAGUGGUAGUCUAUUUAUCUAGGAAGCAACAAGACGGAUCUGGACAAGGACCAUAUUGACUCAAGUUUUGGUGUCAGAAGACCAUUUUGAUUAAACAUGUUAAAAGCACCACAGAAGUAAGAAGCUAGGAUACCAGUUUUAUAAACUAAAGAGUCGAAAGGCCCAGCUGGAGAGAAAUUCCCAUUUCUAGACCAAGGACAAAAAAAAAAAAAAGAUUAAAAAGGUGCUGACUAAGGAGGCAACGUCUCCAGAAGUAACGGAUGAUGAGGAAGCCACCCAGAGGAAGGUCUUACCAUUUAUAUGGGAGUCAUCCCUGCUGCGUAAUGUUAAGUGCGACCUGGACAGAGAGUAUGCUGAAUCUUUGCAACUUCAAUCAAAGAGACAAAAAGCCAAGGCCAUUAGAAGUAGAACGAAAAUGACUAUGACCCCACCACCUAGGAGCAUUCAAAAAGAUUGGGCCGUUUCCUCUACUUAUAAAUGAUGCUAUUACUAUUAAUAGUUAUAUUUAAUUUCCUCAUUUCUAGCUCACCUGAGCCAAAGGCUCAAGGUCACAAUUAAUACUUUUAUACCAUUAUAACCAGUUUUUAUGAAAUUUUAAUAAUGCUGUUGAAGGAGAAUUGCAAUUUUUCGGAUGUUUAUAAUUGACACUGUUUAAGUUAGAGUUGGGUACCGCAGAAAAUAAAGGUACCGCGGUAUACCGUGGUAUUUGCAAAAUACCGCGGUACAUACCACGGUAUACCGCAGAUUUAAUCUUUUAAUUGUAUGAUUCAGUUUUAGUGGAUUUUAGUUGUGAUUUAUUGUAUAUAAUGAGCUGUUAUUAGUUUAUUGAUUGUAAAUUGCAUUUAAUUUAUUCAAAUAUAAAUGAUAAGGAAAAUAUCUUAUUUAAAUCUUAAACCAGUUAACAGAACAAAAGUUUAAUCCAAACGUAUAAGUAUAUCGUACAUACAAUAUAGCAGUGUCUCUGUAUCAUGACUAGAAUCGACUGUGACUAGACUACUGACUGGAACGAUUAUAAAAAUAAUUAAUAGGGGGAAACCUGUGGAUUUUAUUUGACACGAUCUCAAAGUAGUCUAGAAGUUCUUAGAGUCGCGAAUGACGAGAACUUCUACAUGUAGAAUACGCCUGUCCACUUCUCUAAAGAGAAUAACGAGAACAUGUGCGUAUGAACGUGUUCUUGUUCUUCUACCACAAUUCCUACAUUUUUGCACCUCAAAGUCGGCGUUCAGAAUCGGCAGGAAUUUGUACUCGCGCGAUGAACAGUUGUUUCGAACGCACAAGUCUGCAUCUGCCAUUUUAUUUUAUUUUUUACUUGGGGUUUGCCUUAUAGCCGGAAAUGGUAUCCGACCCGAAUAAACCAAACAACAUAAAAACAAUUUUUAUAAUCUACCUUAUAUAUUAAAAUAAUAACUUAAUGAAAUGUUUUCUAUUAUUUUUUUCUUUAAUUUUGAUUUGUUUUCAUAUCAAUAAUC